Molecule: long non-coding RNA, 9748 nt
Organism: Anolis carolinensis (green anole)
Lineage: Eukaryota; Metazoa; Chordata; Lepidosauria; Squamata; Anolidae
Exons: 2
Source: RefSeq, a predicted model, not a curated record
GGUCAGCUCACUUUACUUGGCUUAAAUUAGGAAUUAUUUAUUUAUUUUAUUUACAAUAUUUAUAUUCUGCCCUUCUCACCCCGAAGUGGACUCAGGGCGGAUUACAAUGAAAACAUAUAUGGCAAACAUUCAGUGCCAACUGACAAACAACAUAUAUAGACAGACACAGAGGCAUUUAACAUUUUUUUCCAGCUUCACGAUUCUGGCCACAGGAGGAGCUGUUGCUUCACUGUCCACUAGUGGCUGUACUUCCUCAUUCCUUUCCUCGUGUUUUGCUGGCAGUUUUAUGAUGUUGUAAAUUAGUUAAAUUAGCCUCCCACAUUAAGCAUACCUAAAUUUCCCUAAUUGACAGAUGCAACUGUCUUUCGGGGCUGCAUAGGUCAACAGCAAGCCGGGCUAUUUAAUGGUCGGGGGCUUAACCCGACCUGGGCUUCGAACUCAUGACCUCUCGGUCAGUAGUGAUUUAUUGCAGCUGGUUACUAGCCAGCUGCGCCACAGCCCGGCCUGAAUUUUCAGAAGCACUAAUGCAAUGGAAAAAUUUUGAAAUGAAAAUGUUCAUCAUGACAGUCCUUCUAACCCAGUAGUUUUGAACUUCAGCUCCCACAAUUUCUAACAGGUGGGACGCUACUUGAGAUUUCAGGAGCUGAAGUCCAAAACAAAUGGAGGACCAAAGGCUGCAUUGAUCCAUAGCAAGAAACCUAUUUUAGCAGUUUUUAUCUAAACCAGGAAGUCUUUUUGCAAAGCUAAUGGAUCAUAGGUGCCAUUUCAGAUCAAAGGUUCAUCUACAAUGUAGAAUGAAUGCAGUUUGACACCUCUGUAGUUGCCCUGUCUCAAUGCUAUGGAGGUGGUAGUUUUACAAAGUCUUACAACUUACAAGGCCUUUAGCCUUUUCUGCCGAUAGAUUCUGGUGCCUCAACAAACUGUGACUCCCAUGAUUCAACAACAUUUAACUCGGGCAAUUAAAGUGGUGGCAAACUGCAUUAAUUCUCCAGUGUAACUGUGGUGAACAAGGGGACUCCUUGUUGUUGUUAUGUGCCUUCAAUUCAUUUCUGACAUAUAUCAACCCUAAGAUGAACCUAUCACAGUGUUUUCUUGGCAAGAUUCGUUCAAAAGAUGUUUGCCAGUCUGUUGUUUUCCUCUGAGGCUGAUUGAGUGUGCCUUGGCCAGGGUCACCCAGUGGGUUUCAUGGCUGGACAGGGAUUCAAACCCUGGUCUUCAGAGUUGUAGUCCAAUGCUCCAACCAUCCCUUACUUAUUUCAGAAACAGUGCAUUAACUAAGGGCAAAAGAUAUUUGUAAAAAAGCAUAAUGAGCCAUGGGAAUGAACUACAUUUUCAAAGUAACUUUCUAAACCAGUGGCUUCUCUGUUAGUGGAAUGGUGAAUUUGCCACGGGUUUAAUUCUGAACUUUCAGUGAGCUAUGCAAGACAGAAAACUGAUUUUGAGGCUGGAAAAAAUCAUUUAAAGUCCAGACUAAAACUCAGAAUAGAUUCACCAUUAGACUGACAUGGAAGCCAGCAGAUACCAGAAUCCCAAGCUCUGUUAAAGGUAUAGCCUCAGUCCCCACAUCUGUAAAGUCAGAAUGAGAACAUUCGUCUAUUCCAGGCGUGAGCAAACUUGCUCCCUCCAGGAGUUUUGGGCUUCAACUCCCACGAUUCCUAACAGUCAGUAGGUUGUUAGGAAUUGUAGGAGUUGAAGUCCAAAACAUCUGGAGGGAUGAAGUUUGCCAAGGCCUGGUCUAUCAGAAUGUUACUGCCCUUAUAGCUGGAAUAUAGGCAAUUGCCUAUAAGAGAUGAGCCAGUAUGAGUGAAAUAAACCCCUCCAAAGCAAUCUCUCCUAGUGUGAGUCCUAUUCAUGGUAAUGGGUCCAGUCUGGGUGACAUCCUUUGUAUGCUGUGCCCUUAAAUUAGCCACAAGCCUUCUUUAAAUAUCUCCCGAACUUUAGAUUCCCAGCAGCCCAGCUUCCUGAAAACCUCAAGGGAAGUGAUUCCCUGGGAAUUCAGGUCACGGCUGGCGUUUCCCUUGGCUGCGGUGUCUGAAGCCAGGCAGCCUGUUUGCUUAGUAAUCUCCUUGGCUGUGUUAAGUUGUUAGGGGUAACCAAAGGCAGCUGAUUUCUUAAUUGCUUAAGGCAGGAAAUCAGGUCCCUUCAUUGGCUGCCAUAAUUACUUAGAGAGCAAGCCCAAAUUCGGGCCUGAGUUUUUGAUCUUCUCCCUUACAAAAUAUAAGCUUUCCCUUGACAGAGGCAGUGAACAUUUAUCUCAAGAAAGCUGUUUUCUUAAUAAACAAGAAAUUAAUUGGGGAGAAAAAUAGUGAUAUACAAAAUAGUUCACAUUUUUUCUGAAAACAGGUUAGGGAAUUACUUGUGCCAUCUACUGCAUUUUUAUUCUAAAUACAUCCCAUUAAAUCCCAUAGACAAGGAGCAGCCCAUUUGCUUGAUCUUUUAUUAGUUCAUUAAUGUAUUCAUCUAUUGCUUCUUUUACAAAUACAGUACAAACCUCAUACCUGCAGGGGAUACAUUCCUAGACUUUGUGCGGAUAUGUAAAACCAUGAACCCCAUUGAAAAGAUAAACUUCUGGCCCAAGAACACCAUAGAAUUGCAUUGGAGGAAUUAUGAACUGCCGAGAGGACAUAUUUUGUCGCAUACUGAUAAAUGAAACUGCAGAUGCUGGUACCGCAGAUAUGGGAAUUGUACUGUACAUACCUUGCUUUCCCUUGUAAAAUCCAUUCAGGACAACGUAGAAGUUAUGCUAAGUACAACAAGUAGUGUCAACUAUUCAAAUGGGUAAAAUCAGUCUCUUACAAUAAGACCAAAACAGGAUAAAACAAUUACAGUUACCUCACAACCUCUGAGGAUGCCUGCCAUAGAUGUGGGCAAAAUGUCAGGAGAGAAUGCUUCUGGAGCAUAGCCAUACAGCCCGGAAAAUACACAACAACCCAGUGAUUCUGGCCAUGAAAGCCUUUGACAAUACAAUUACUAAUAUGCCUCAAUUAACAAAGCAGGUGUUCCCUGGUCUUUAUUUCUUUAACAGAAACUUUGACAGAAAUAACAUGGAACAAUAGGAUUAGGUUCCUACAGUACAACAAAGGGGAGCACUUCUGCAUGUUUCAGCAAACUAAUCAUUUUGCACAUAUGAACUGAAGCAACCAAGAGGAAGUCUUGCAUAAGAAAAUAAAAUAUUUUGAUUCCUCUAGAAACCACUUGAAAGCUGCUUUCAAAAAUGCUCCUGGUAUUACUUUUCCUUCCAUCAGCCCCACUUUUUAUGACAUCAAUUUUGAUGGCAAAAUGUAUAGAUAGAUACUUUUUCAAACUUCUAAGGUACUUGGCAAAGUAAACUAAUCUGCUUUUCUCUUUCUUUAUGUUUUGCCUACUAAGUGAUUCUGGAGGCAGCUGCUGUUUACCCUGCCUGUUGCAAGUAAGCACAGACAGCUAUAUUAGGAUGACCUAUAGAAUCCCAUUGUUUCCCAGCUCAAUGUUUAUUGCAUCGUUUACUUUAAGCAUACUGCUGCCAUCUGAUACUUAAACUGUCUUUCUCCAAUCUCCCUUCACUAUUUCCCCAAUACAAAUGCUGCAAAAAAAAAAAAAAUCCCAGCUAGACAGAAGACAAGAUAAAUGGAUCUUAACUGGGCUCCCGAAAAAAAGACUUGGUACAAAGCAGAAAAUUUCUUCAUAUACCUGUAUUAGGAAGCAGAUGUUUAGAAAUGAAGCCAUUAUCUGUCAUACACAGUCACAAGUACUGAGUUGAUUUUGGUGGAUGUAGGGUUUUUUGUUUUUGUUUUACAAAAUGAGGUUUGUGUUUGUUUCUAGCAGUGGAUGGUGUUGAUGGGGAGGCUCCAAAUUCCUUUUGGAGAGGUGACAAAUAUCAUUUCCAUAGUAACUGACAUGAUUUGCAAGAUUUAAUCAAAGAAUUGCUGAGAGGUGAACAGUCAUGCAUGCUUUAAGGGGUUGUUGAAGACACCAGAAUUCUUUUCCUACCUUGUAGCAUCCCACUUUCCUCCAAAACGUCCUUCCUGGGCUGUGGUGCAGGCUGAAGAGCAAGCCAGCUGCAACCAGCUGCAAUGAAUCACUCUGACCAGGAGGUCAUGAAUUCGAGGCCUGCUCGGAGCCUAUGUUUGUCUUGUCUUUGUUCUAUGUUAAAAGGCAUUGAAUGUACCCUUCGGGGUAAGAAGGGCAGAAUAUAAAUGCUGUAAAUAAAUAAAUAAAUAUAGUGGCUGGUGGAGAGUAAAGGAUAUCUGACAAACAUAUGGCUGUCUGACUGUAUCCAGAUAUAUAAUGAUGAAGGCAUCUACCAGUAACCUCUGAAAGUCCUGAAGGAUGACAGCAUCAUUGUGCAUCUGGCUGUGGACACAUAACUUCAGCCCUCCUUUUAAAGACAUUUAAAAGAGCCAUGGGGUCACUGAAAACUAAGAAUCCUUAGACCACAACAAUAUUUAUUUCAAUCCACUUUAUGAAGUCCUUCCUUUUUAUUUCUAGGGGUUUUUGUUUUUGGGGGUGGGGAGUUGAUUCAUGUGAGCCUUUCAUACUCCGAGUCAUUUAUCUUCUACAACAGCUACUUAGAGGCAACUUCAGUGUUAAGAAUUUACCCUGAGAUGGACGGGAAAAGAAGCAAGGCGAAGCAGGGCAAGGGACGGGGGAGAAAUGGUUGUGUUUUUAAAAAAAGAAAGAAAAGAAAUCAAAGGGUAUCAAGCCAAAGCACAUGCCACUGCUUGUGUAUCUUAUUCUAUGAUUCUUUGAAGUUUUAAUCUCUGGAAAAGAAAAGCCUUUCAGUUGCUCGGUGGCAAAAACUCAGGAUUGUAACUUUUGAAUCGUGGUUCAUAAACGGAUCUCAUCCAUUUCCUGACAAUUAGUGCUAAGUGAGUUUAAAUUUGAUCUUCCACGCUACUGUCUCAGAUCUCAGGGAGCCGUUCAGCCACCUCUGUCUUUCCCACUUAAUUUUUUUUUGUAUAUUUCACUUUAAAAUACCCACACACGGAUAGUUGAAAACUGACUUCAUUUAUAUGGGAGGAAAAGCAGAGAGCUGUCAAUCACCCCCCAAUUGCCAUUUGGUGGUAUCUCACAGAUUCUUGUCCCAUCCAGGACAGAUAUAAGAUUUCUUUCAAACAUCCUAAUUAAAAUGAAACAAAUGAGAAAAAUAAAAAGUGAAGGUGAUCUAAUUUUUUUUACCCAAAUUGAAAGGCUUUCAGAAGAAGUGUUUUCUACUUUAUACUGCCCAAUUCAGUUACCUAACUCCAUAACACUCUAUUUCUGAUAACAGGUGCUUAGGUUGCCCCAGUUUGAAACAAAAACAUCAUAGAUGAGCUUCAGUUACAACCUAUAAACUAUCUACGGGCCCACUAAAAAAUCCAACAAAUGCUACGUUCAGCAAAGGACAAGAAGGAUCCUCUCACUUCUUUAAAAGUCUACCGUAUACCAUGCAGCUGUGGACAAGUCUAUAUAGAGACCCCCAAAUGCAGCAUUGCCCAGACAUGAAUCAAGGAACAUGAAAGGCCCUGCAGACUCACUCAGCCAGAGAAGUCAGCCAGAGCAGAGCACCUGAUGAACCAACCUGGACACAGCAUAUUAUUUAAGAACACAAAAAUGCUGAACCACUCUAACAACCACCAUGUCAGACCACACAGAGAAGCCACUGAAAUCCACAAGCAUGUAGACUAUUUUCAACAAGAAGUAGAAAACUAUGAGAAUGAACCAAAUCUAGCUACCGGUAUUUUAGCAUCUCUAAAAUCAGGACAAUAAAUAAAGAACAACACUCUGAAAACAGGGAAAUUCCAGGCAUGAAACAAUCAGGGCCAGCUAACACCUCCCAACAAAGGAUUCCCUCAGGCAAGAAGCAGCCAGACCUUGAAGUUGCAAGGCCAUUCAAUGCUAAUCAAGGUGGCCAAUUGGAACAUUAACACUUGCUUCCAACAGACAAGAGUUCUUUCUCCAACCCUGGAGAUUCCACAGACAUAUAAACCUCACUGACCUAGUUUCCAAUAUACCUCACAACCUCUGAGGAUGCCUGCCAUACAUAUGGGCAAAAUGUCAGGAGGGAAUCCUUCUGGAACAUGGCCAUACAGCGAUCCAGAGCUUCCGUUAAUUCAGAUUUAUUAGAAAUGAUAGCUAAAAAUUGACUUCUUAUUCUGAGGCAAUGUGAGAACGCUUUGUUUUCAUAGCACUCAUUCUACAGUACAAUGGUGGUUAGUGGCUUUCUGGCAAGGGAUGCAGUGAAUCUCCUCUUGUCUUCUGUUAUGGACUUAAAUGAAGCUCUUUUAAGUGUUGAAGCCUGCAGAAAAAGCUGGAGCAGAUUUAUCUCACCUCUGACAUAUGCCUCAUCUACACUGACUAUAUAAUGCAGUUUAACUGCAUUAAAUGAGUCUACAUGGCAUUAUGAAACCUAAUUAUAUGGCAGUGUAGAUGGGGCCAUAGAAGCCACUGACCACGUCCUCGGGUCAAGGCCAUGGGAUACUACCUUUAAAGAGUAAUUGGCUAUCAUUGGAGCCUGAAGUCCUGUAAGUACCGUAGUUCAGUGCCAUUAGAAUUGCAAUUUUAAGUAAUAAUGUUACGGUCUUGUUCAGAAAAGCAAUGCACCAGGAUCAUGAUUAGCAUCUUCCUGGAUUCUAUUAUGUUCUAUCCCACUUCCAUAACUGUAUAACUUCAAUAUUACUCUGAACUACAUCUGAAGAAGUGGGUUUAUAGCCACAAAACUUAAGAGUUUGCCUUAAAGGUGCUGCCAUUCUUCUUCCCUCUCCUCCUUCCUUUUUAUUCUGCAAGAGCCUAACACAGCUACUUUUGAAGAGUAGGUCAACACUUAAAGAAACUCUGCUAAUUCAAUGGGUCUACUUUAGUGAUUUAGGGCUAACAAUUGGAUUUAGUGUGAGGGUGUUCCAUUCAUAAGUAAUAUGAACCCCAAAGGGAAGUAGAAAUCUUGAAUUGCUUGUCGAACUAGAAUUGGAUGUUUAAUCUGAGUUACAGUUAAUCAAAUGGAUUACUUUACAGUCUUUGUGCUGAUCUUUGCAACAUUUCAAGACAAAGUGAAGCUGCCUGAUGGUUAUGAAGGUGUUUACUUAGGGCAACAGGUGAAAUAUUAUGCCAAGGAAAGUUUCUGUACUAUUAAGCUUGAUUUUAAAAAAAAAAGAGGGAAAGAAAAGACAAAGCGUAUCUGAGGUGUUAAUUAGAAUCUAGAUUCAGGUGCUAACUUCUUUGAGUGAAAGCGCCUGUUGAGUAAUUGCAGGAAAGGGGCCCAUUUGAGGCAGAGCAGUAAUUAUUGAAUUAGUAGAAAAGUUCAAGUAGAGAUUCAGAUUUCCAAUCAUUACUGGGUUUGCUGAGAAUCAGAACAGCUAAUCCUAGAGGGAUUCAGGUUCUUUCUCACCUGUAGUUGUUGAUAUUGGAGUUCUUGAAGGACUUCUAAGCUCCCAAGAAAGAAAGAAAAACCAUGAAAAUGAACAAAAUCUGACUACCAGUAUUAAAAAAACUCUAAAAUCAGGACAAUGAUUAAAGAACACCACUCAUAAAAUAGGGGAUUCCAGACAGGAAACAAUCAGAGCCAGCUAACACCUCCCAACAAAGGAUUCCCCCUGGUAAGAAGCAGCCAGCCUUUGAAGCUGCAAGGCCAUUCAAUGCUAAUCAAGGCGGCCAAUUGCAACAUUCACACUUGCCUCAAACAGACAAGAGUUCUUUCUCCCACCCUGGACAUUAUUCCACAGAUAUAUAAGCCCCACUUGAUGAGUUUCCAACAGACCUCACAACCUCCGAGGAUGCCUGCCAUAGAUGUGAUUGAAACAUCAGGGGAGAAUGCUUCUGGAACAUGGCCAGACAGCCUGGAAAACUCACAGCAACCCAGUGAUUCCGGCCAUGAAAGCCUUCGACAACACAAGAAAGAAAAACCUCAGAUAUUCCAGACUUAUCUUUUUAAAAAAUAACAAAUUUUGGUGCAGGCUGAAACCUUGGGGGUGAUGACCGUCACCCCGGCUCUCAAGUUGAAUUGAAAGCGCAGCGGAGAGUUCCGCAGAUCACUCGCCAAAGGAACGGGACGGGACCGCAGCAGACUAUUAUUAAAAGAUCCUUUUUUUCUUCACUUUCCCCUUCCCUGAACUAUGUAACAAAUCCCCCAAUAAAAGUAGCAUUCAUUUUAACAGUAACACUCCCUAUCUGGUUAUUUUGUAUCUUUCUCUGACUCCUUCCUUUGCAUGCAAUUUCUCUCUCUCUCCCGUCCCUUUAACUCCGGCUGAGGUUUCUCCGCCAUAGAUUAAUAUGGCGGACGAUACAAAUCGGCUCAUAUCUCUAUCAAAAUUACCCCUAGAACGCUCCUCUUUUAGUCCUAACCCUUUCUAAGGCUCCUGACUCGAAGACCACCAGCGGAACCGAAAUCGGUCCAGUUCUCGGCACCUCAACAGCUGACUGUCAAACGGGACUGACUGCUCCUUUCAAGCCAAACUGCUGCCUUAUCCCGGACUUUCCUCUCCCCGCGGCCCGCGGAAUGGUUUUAAGAGAUCCCUAGCCCCUUUCUGUGAACUGGGGAUGGGGGGAUCGCUCUCUCGCUGGGGAAACAUAGUUCUCCAAGAACCCUUACCCUCUCUACAGCUGCCAGGGGGUGCCCGGACGGGUGCCCUCCACGUUUCACUCAUACUUUCAUAAUUUUAUGAAGGAGAAGAACACUCUUCCCCAGACCUAUCCCUGGACUUAUGAAAUCUUAUACUCCCAAAGACUAUAACCCACAUGUGCCCCUUCUUAUGUACCUGGACACCCUCAUGACCCACUGUUGUAUGAAUUUCUAAUCGUUGGGCUAACUUCAUGAAUUGUGAAAUCAUGCUGCUAGAACUCCACUCUUAUGAAUUUCCAUAUUGGGUUCCCCAGAUGUUGUGAACUUCGUUCUUAUCAAAUGUUUUCAAUUGUUUAUAUCAUUCAUGAUUCCCCUUUAUGCAAUGUCACCCACCUUUAUGGAUUCUCCUUUAUUUCCUUGAAAUCUAUCUAUCUGCCUAUAUGUAUUUGUACUCUUUGGGAUCCCCGGAAAAUAUGUAUUUUUCCCAGCAGGGUUUAUGUUCCAACUUUAUUUUAAUUUUCAUUCUAUCCCAUAUAAUUGUCAAAUCAUGAAAUCAAAUGGGAAAUAUUAUGACCCCAACGUGAACCCUAGCCCCCAUGAUCCAGACCUCCCUUCCCAAAAACAAAAGGAUAAUCUGCCACAGUUUAAUCCAAUCUCAUUCCGAUCGCAUGGACAAUAUAGGGCUUGAGUCACCAAAUUCCUAAAGGUGAUUCGACCCCAAGGCAAACAUUGUCAUAUCCCAGGCCAGGACGCCUCAGGAAGGCACCCUGUGGGGCCCGUCAAUGACGGCUCAUCACUACCCUUCUUUACUUCCCCCUGACACCCCAAGGCAUAUCUAACAUCUGUGAACGUGACAGGACCCCGGACAUCCUUGAUGGGUGCCAUUAAUUCCUUUAGAAAUCGGCCGGGCCAGGAUUAAUCUGAUAUUUCCUGUCCGGUCACUUCAUUGUUUCAAUAGCUCCCGCCUCCUCCUCUCUGAUUGGCCCGAGUGGGGACAAAAAGCGGCUCCCCAUUGGGCCAGCAAAGCAAGGCGGGAAACGAAAGCCCGCCUCGUUCAACCUCCCAGCCUAUCCGCGAUCAGAUGGGCGGGGGAGCGGGGCGGGAAAUUCAAAGGGCUGUCAGACCGAAACAUUGUAUAAAUAUGGCUUUAUUUGAAACAUAUGUUACGCUAGUAGAUUGAAUGAUCGCUACUAGUGUCCAUUCAGCUGAAUCGCUCAAUAAAGACUCCUUGGCGGA